GAAAUGCGAUAAGUAAUGUGAAUUGCAGAAUUCAGUGAAUCAUCGAAUCUUUGAACGCACAUUGCGCUUCCUGGUAUUCCGGGGAGCAUGCCCGUUUCAGAAUCAUUGAAAAUCUCAAGACCCCGGUGUUUUCGGACCCCGGGCUAUUGGAUAUGGGUGUUUUUGCCGAUGUGCAAGCGCCUUAAACGCAUUGUGCGUGCACCGAUUGGCUGUUCAAUGGGUUUCCAAAGUGCAACAGAACUUUCUAUUUCACUGAGGACUCUCAAUGGGCUGCCUCGGAGCAGGCUCUCAAUGUUUUAGACGGAGGCUGUCACAGUUGGGGCGGUCUCUGAUAACUUGGUCUGAAAUCGGGCAAGAAAACCCGCUGAACUUAA
RNAcentral lists this unclassified non-coding RNA (374 nucleotides) under uncultured Chytridiomycota. Its description in RNAcentral is "sequence contains ITS1". The stretch from base 1 to 105 matches the Rfam family "5.8S ribosomal RNA", at positions 50 to 154 of the family's 154-position model. Lineage: Eukaryota; Fungi; Chytridiomycota. The record is from RNAcentral.